Mastomys coucha (southern multimammate mouse) is the source of this 267-nucleotide long non-coding RNA. RefSeq lists it as uncharacterized. The transcript has 2 exons. Lineage: Eukaryota; Metazoa; Chordata; Mammalia; Rodentia; Muridae. The record is from RefSeq and is a predicted model, not a curated record.
CAUUGAGGAUGGUACAUGAGAGCACAUGGAGGCUUGGGAUGUGAUGGUGACAGUGAAAAUGGAGAAGAGUAAAUGGAUUUGAGCUUUCUGAGGGUGUCUCUUCACUCUGGCACUUGUUUCCUUUGCUGUACAAAAGUACUUUUAAGAACCAAGAAAUGCUUCUCCAAGAACCAACAAGAGGAAUCAUUGGGAGAGAGUCCAUUGAAUUUGGCACUGACAUGGAAGGAAGAGAAGGCAAAUAAAUGUAUUGCUCUAGUGUUAAAAAUA